CAGAGGUUCUGCUGUGGUUUCGUCGGCAAGUACAUCAACAUCACGAUGAUGUCUUCAUGGUCGGGAUGGCACAAGCAGUGGUUCUACUGUGAGUUCCCUGACCGGGGUGCGCUUGAGUACAAGGGCAUCUAGGUGAAACCAUGUGCAAACUAGCAAGAGCCGUUCGAGGUGAACCAACAAACUCUAGAGUUGUCCCUGAGUGCCGCCAACAAAAGAGUGUGGUACCUCUUUGACAAGCCCUCAGCAGACAACUGGGACGACAUCCUAAAAGCUCUAUGCAACUUGCCACCCAAAGGAACCAUUGGUAGGGUGAGAAAGAGUAUAAGAUCUCCCUCGGACCAAUGUAGCCUAGUCCUGAACCGAGCUAGGAAGAAGGCACAUGUCAUAGAGGAUGACCUGGAGACGAAGUCCGACGAUGUGAUUGUCCAUGUCAUCCCUGCUCCGAGUACGGGGAUUCUGCCUGAGGACUUGAGCUUGCAUUGGUCAAAGGUGUUAAGGGAAGCAGAUGAUGCCUCGGCCACGACAUCGACACAUUUUGACAAAGGAGUCACCAGAGAAAAAAACCAAGGAAGAAAGAGCUGUUCAGGCGAUCCUCGCCCCCAAGUUCGACGCACGUCCUGCCAAAUCAGGAAUUCCUUCCCUUGAGGUAAGGGUGAAGCUCUCCCUCAGGUUUAAGAUUAAACCCCUAAGCCAUGUGGAUCCGAGCUCCAAAGUGUUUUGCAAAUUCCCUAGAGGCAUUGAAGCCCAUUGCCAUGCCUGCAAUGAUGGCUGCCUCUACUCUGUCCACCGUCAUGUCUAAGCUUGAGGAAAUUCUCUUGGGAAUGGAAGAUGUUGCGGUAGUCAUCUCUGAGAAAGGCGUGGGCACGACUAUGGUUGAGAUCCUAGCCGGUCCAUAAAUGAUUGGUGGCGGACUCAACACCGGCCCACUCAGGGGCCAGUUUUUGCAGAUCUGGUCGGAGGACGAUGAGCAGUUUGGUUUGACUCCCUUGACAGCUCUUUAAGAUAACAAAGCUUCAGUCAUCGUCCGAGAAAGUUACUUUCACUUAGGGAAAGUAUUCCAAAAGAUCUUCUUUUAGCCUAAUUGUUUCCUUGACUUUGUAAGCUACUCUCAACUGUAUAAUAAUUUUAAAGUUGUUGUUCACUUAGGAAGGUGCUUGAUUGCCAUUCUUCUACUGAGGUACCGGUGGAGGUUCCUGACGAGGGGCCUGAUAGUUUGAA
This is a long non-coding RNA of Phragmites australis (common reed), 1218 nucleotides long. RefSeq lists it as uncharacterized. Lineage: Eukaryota; Viridiplantae; Streptophyta; Magnoliopsida; Poales; Poaceae. The transcript has 5 exons. The record is from RefSeq and is a predicted model, not a curated record.